GAGCUCCCUGACGCGACACAAUACUCAGCAGCAGUAUUGUUGGACCCGCAGUGUCAAGCGUCAGUGGGGUCC
This is a small RNA of Endocarpon pusillum Z07020, 72 nucleotides long. It matches the Rfam family "bZIP non canonical Hac1/Xbp1 intron". From Rfam's summary of the family: bZIP intron RNA is a non-canonical intron that was first reported in HAC1 gene in yeast and XBP1 gene in Metazoa. The record is from Rfam. Lineage: Eukaryota; Fungi; Ascomycota; Eurotiomycetes; Verrucariales; Verrucariaceae.